GGAACUUUAAUGCUGGACGUUUUAAAAGUAGAAAAAAUAAAAUUUAUAUUCCUUUAAACGCUUCUCAAGCCGCUAAUUAACCCCCCAUGCACCCCGCCGCCACCGUCCUGUCUCCAGUUUCCCGCCGGUGGAGCUGCUAGCAUGGAUGCUAACCUCUGUCGUUCGACACAGUUUUGUACUUUUCAAACUCACCUCAGGACAGAAAGUUCCAGCGAAACACACGGACUCUGUCGGCUCUCUGCGACUGGAAUUAUUCGAGAACCUUCGUGGGAGUUCGCGCCACUUUCAUAGCCUGACAGAUGUAAAGUUCCUCUCUCAUAAACCGGCGGUUGUGUAGAGAAGGAGCACGCCGUGUGUGUUUAAGGAGACGUGGUCAGCUGACUGCAGCAGGAUGGAUGGAUGGAUGGACAGAUGGAUGCAGGUCUGUCUGUUAAUCAUUAAUAAAGUGGAUUAGCCGGUCUUCUGUAAAUAUGAAGAAUGCACACAGAGCUUCAUUAGCUCUGCCCUCUCCCAGCACGCCGUUAAGAGGCAGCCAGUCUCCCUUCAGCCUCCUUCCCAGCAGCUCAGGAGCCGUUUCUGCUGCUCCAGACAUGCUGCUGGUCCUCCUCGUCUCCACCUGGAUUCAUAGACCAGCUCUGAGGAUCUGUCUGAGCUCAAUCUCAUCCGUGAACUUUGUUUGAGUUGGAGCCUGUGGCUUUGUGUCAGCGUCAUGCCGAUGAAGCGCAGCAGCAGCUCCGCCUCAGAAGACCUGUUUCUGCUUCACCCUUUCAGCAGAAGUUUGAGCAGCUCUCCAGAGGAGGCGUCCACGGAUGUUAGCGGCCGCACGCCGUUUCACCGGGAGAACGAUUCUGGGAUCAAAUCAGAAGACAGCAACGACACGCCGUCAUCCGAGGAGGACCCGGACCUGACCUCCGACCCCCGGCAGAACUUCGGCAGGAAGACCGUCAGCCAGCUCGUCAAGAACAAGAAGAAGCAGAUGCAGCUCACUCUGCAGUGGUAAACGUCUGAGAUGUGUCUGAGGUUCUGUUCAGAUGUCGAUGUUGUCAUCCUUCUUCAGAUCUCUCAUUGUCACAGUU
RNAcentral lists this long non-coding RNA (1076 nucleotides) under Oryzias javanicus (javanese ricefish). RNAcentral describes it as "lncRNA (ENSOJAG00000022456.1)". Lineage: Eukaryota; Metazoa; Chordata; Actinopteri; Beloniformes; Adrianichthyidae. The record is from RNAcentral.